GGAGGCAGCAGUGGGGAAUAUUGGACAAUGGACCAAAAGUCUGAUCCAGCAAUUCUGUGUGCACGAUGAAGGUCUUCGGAUUGUAAAGUGCUUUCAGGUGGGAAGAAGAAAGUGACGGUACCACCAGAAGAAGCGACGGCUAAAUACGUGCCAGCAGCCGCGGUAAUACGUAUGUCGCAAGCGUUAUCCGGAAUUAUUGGGCGUAAAGCGAGUCUAGGCGGCUUGUUAAGUCAGAUGUGAAAAUGCGGGGCUCAACUCCGUAUUGCGUUUGAAACUGGCAGGCUAGAGUACGGGAGAGGUGGGCGGAACUACAAGUGUAGAGGUGAAAUUCGUAGAUAUUUGUAGGAAUGCCGAUAGUGAAGACAGCUCACUGGACAGAUACUGACGCUAAAGCUCGAAAGCGUGGGGAGCGAACAGGAUUAGAUACCCUGGUAGUCCACGCCGUAAACGAUGUUCACUGGGUGUAGGGGGUCG
This 474-nucleotide ribosomal RNA is filed under the name uncultured bacterium. Its description in RNAcentral is "bacterial SSU rRNA". It matches the Rfam family "Bacterial small subunit ribosomal RNA", at positions 344 to 832 of the family's 1533-position model. The record is from RNAcentral.